Osmia lignaria (orchard mason bee) is the source of this 3664-nucleotide non-coding RNA. Lineage: Eukaryota; Metazoa; Arthropoda; Insecta; Hymenoptera; Megachilidae. The record is from RefSeq and is a predicted model, not a curated record.
UUUAAACUAACGAGAAGUUGUUUCAAUGUUUAAACAAAGAACAAUAGUGUAAAGGGGAUUGAAGUAAAAACCAUUGGGGCUUUGUAUCAUUUCUUUGGGACAUAUGUAUAUUCGUUUAGAUAAGGGUCAAAGGAUAGUAGCUAUGCUUAUUUCUCGUAAUGCAGCUACAUCGCGGAUGAAAAUAGAUUUUUAGUUGUGAAGUCACACAGAUGCUCUAGAUAUAAUUCGUGGCAAUUCUGUGAGUGAAUUGGCAGCCAUUUUUAAACUGCUCACUUAGUACAAUAGAGUAGAAAGGAUAUGAAUAAUGAGAAAUCCGAUUGCGGGAUAGUAGCUAAUAUGUAAACGCGUGAUAUUAAAUGUAGCGUAAUCGGCUGUGAAGAAUAUAAAAAGACAAUUCUGCAUUCGUGAAGUGUGGGUAUUCGUUUCGAGUAGACGGUACUCGAGCGAAUGCACUUCCUCCCCGUGAAAUUGAUGAAAUGGUGAACUGUCAACACCUUUGCAAGAUGAGAAUAUGAUUUUCAUUCGAAUUACCGUACAGCGUAAGAAUCGGUUUGUUUAAAGAUUAAUCGUGAAGAUUGUGAUAGAAAGAAAGAGUUCGAAGCCGAAAGGCCCCGGCUAAGAGCGAUGUCGAUUUUACCAUGCAAGAGAACAACGAAUGCAAUGAUCGUGGCUCUCGAAUGCUAAGUUCCUAUAAUAAUGGCAGAUAAUGUACACAGAAAAUCGCAUAAGCUAUCGGAUGGUAGUAGAAAAACAUCUAAUCCAGUACAUCGUACGACCACCGAGACAAUUCGGUUAGGAGAGCCCGAGAAACUGUACCAGCCGGUUAGUUUGACCACUUCAAGCAACGUGACGGCGAAUAAUCAGUGUCGGAAAAAGACAUCGUCCUUUCAAAUUACAAGCGUUAGCAGUCGUAUGAGCAAUGAUGCCGGCGAAGAUUCGAACGAUGAUCUGGAUGAAUCCCACACAGAGGACAAUUCGGUUGAACACUCGCGUAUCACUGACAUUGAUAUUGAAACGCCUAGUUACUCGGAAGAUACUUUCUCCAAGGAGGAUGUAUUCUUUAAUACCAGUAACGCUGCCCUCAGUACUGCUCCGGUGAUUCCUACAAGUUCUCAAUACGGUUUGGCAAUUGUACCCUCAGAAGGGAAUAAUGUCAGCAAUUCGGUAAAUGACAGCAAUAUUAAUACUUUGGACAUUACAUCCGUUACCGACAACAAUAUUAUUAAUUUGCUGUCGAGUAACGCCAAACAAGAUGCAGAUUUACGCGAGGUUCAUUCUCAUGGUAGAAACGAAAGAUUUAAAGUGGUUAAAAUUGAAAGUACCGAACCUUUUAAGAGAGGUAGAUGGACUUGUAUGGAUUAUUUGGAUCAUACGUCUGUUAAUCAACCAACAGCGAUUAGUACACCAAAAGUAUCGGAUCCAAAUGAGGUGUGCAUAUCGUACGGAGUGACGGACAGUGGAAUUGUUGUACCAGAUGCACCUAAACAGUCGGUUGUAUCGGAAGACAAAGGUAUAAGUAUCGAUGCUAACGGACAAGUAUCUGCACAUCCAGAUGUGCAUACUUCAAUUGGUGUACCAAGCAAUCCUACAUCGGUUUCCAACGCUAAUUAUGCGGUAAGCAAUUCGCUUCCUCCUAAUGCGCAGCAUAAUCCCACCCAAGUUCAAACACAGACUAAAGUUCAGGCACCUUCGCAAAUUCCUCAAUACUUUCAAUCGUCCGCUCAACAAUUGGCAUCGCAGCAGCAGCAACAACAACAACAGCAGCAGCAACAGCAACAGCAACAGCAACAGCAACAGCAAGGAGGACAAGGUUCUACAUUACCGUCGAAUCUGCAACCUACUCAUCCGAACAAUUUAACUCAGUCUCAGAGUAUGCCGCAGGGUUCUAUUCCUAUUAUAACGCCGACUGGUAAUAGCAAUGUGACUGCUCAACAAAAUAUACCUCAUUCAAAAGAAGAUACAUACGUAACAGUGAGCACACAAAAUCAGUCGUUACCAGUUCAGAAUGUUUGUCAGGCAUCCGUUCAACAAGCACCCGUACCGACAUCAUCCCAGGCACCCAACAUUCUUGUCACUCAACAACAGCAGCAACAGCCGCAACAACAGCAGCAGCAACCUCAACAGCAACAGCAGCCCCAACAGCCAUUGCAAACCCAAAAACCAAUGACGCAAAUUUCAGAGCCAUUGACUGCCAUACAAGGAAUGCAGGGCAUCCAAAAUAUUCAUACAGUUCCUCAAACAGGUGCACAGCAAACUUCCUCGACCAUUCACGCUCCUGGAGCACCGGUACAAUCUCAAGUGAUACCGCCGUCUCAAAUGCAACCCCAAACUUCUGGUAGCAAUGCUCAAGUGCAAGUGGCACAGGUGACAGCAAGCUGCCAAAAUGUUGUAGGUGGUAUACAACAGGGAAAUAUAACGUUCCAUCAAACAGAUCCGGAGCAGGACUCCAUUUCAGGCAUUGUAGCUGGAUCCACUACUCAAUCAGCUAAUACAACCCUUUUAGAAUCUUUAACCGAAGUUACUCAAGGCAGUGACGAACACCAUGCCCUCGAAGACAAUGAAAGUAUGUCGGGAACUAGUGCUGUAGCGAUUGAUAAUAAAAUUGAGCAGGCCAUGGAUCUUGUUAAGAGUCAUUUGAUGUUCGCCGUACGAGAGGAAGUUGAAGUACUCAAGGAGAAAAUAGCAGAGCUCAUGGAUCGUAUUAAUCAAUUAGAAGCUGAAAAUUCAAUCCUAAAAACACAUGCGACUCCAGAAACGUUAGCUCAAUUGAGCCAAUCAACCGCAAAAUUACCCCAAAACAGUUCAGGAAGUGGUCAAUAGAGCAUCUUCUGAGGCUAGUAACAUCAACAGCUGUGCAGGGGAUAAUUCCAACAGCAUACCAGUUAUUUUAUCAGCUAAUGCGGGUCGUAAUGCAUAAACCUAGACAAGACUCAUUACAAUAGGAUAAUUGCGAUUAUAUCAUUUACCUUUGGAUACAGUCUAUCCCCAAGUUGUUGUUGAUGCAUGGUCAAGUGAUCGUUAUUUGGAUGACUAACAGGUAGCGGAUGGGAAUUGGAGGACGAACUACCAGCACCAGAAUUAUUACUUCCUUCGACAGACGUGGAUGGAUGAAACGCACGAGCUUCGAACGAUAAUCUUCGCGUCUCUCGACAUUUUCCAGAAGAUCGAGGAUUCUGGAAGAAAAAGAAUAUAAACAUGUUUCUUCAUCUUCUUCUUCUUUUACAUAGUAAUAAUAAUAAUAAUAAUAAUAAUAAUUAUAUACUAACUUGUCGUCUUAAAUCACGAUCACGGUCUCUACUUUUUAAUUUCUGAAGCACAUUAUAUUGCGUAUAUUUGGAGCCUACUUGGGCUGCUUCAAGAUUGGGCAGUUUUUCGUUUGCAAGCAAUGCCUAUGGAAAAUAGGAAUCCAUAUUAGUUUCUAAGACGAGCAGAAACAGUGCUAACGUUGCAAAUAAAAAAUAAUUGAAAUGGUUCAAGCAAUACAAUAAUUGGUAAUAGUUUUUUCUGGAAAACUUUUUCUUAUUAUAGCGUAUAGCGUUUGCACUUUUCCGCUGGUCAUAUUAAAAUUGUCACAGAAACUUUAUAUUUUACGCCAUACUUGCAUGCCAAACAUUUAGUUUUCGAUAGAAAAAUAAAAAGGAAUAAUUUCAUUCGCACGAUAAGA